CAGAGAGUUUCUUUCAGAAGUGGACUUAUCAAAGCAACAGUGCUGUUAAUCUGAAGAACAAUGGCAGAUACAAACCCAGAUAAAACCCCUCAGUGCGAUAAGAGCAACAUGCCAGGGUGAAGGCAAGGGUGAAGGCAAGGAUACAAACCCAGAUAAAAUCCCUCAGUGCGAAAAGAGCAAACCAUGCCACGGUGAAGGCAAGGGUGAAGGCAAGGGUGAAGGCAAGGGAAAAGGACCAGGACAAGGGCAAGGUCAAGGCAAGGGUCAGGGUCAUGGUCACGGACACGGUCACGGACCUGGAAAGGAUGGAAAGGAUGGCAAAGGCAAACCAUAAUGAAAGGAGCUGAAUGAAGAGACGUCUGAAGUCUGUCUGAUGCUGUUGUUUUUUUUCUUGCACCAUGACUAAUAAACUAAAACAUGUAUAAUUAUACCACAUAUGUUUGUUUUUAAUUAAAUGAUCAUCAAUAAAGUGUUUGGUAUCAAAGAAUGGCUUUUAGAAUCGUUGACUCCUUAAGCUUUGAAAUUCCAAAUAUAAAACGAAAUGAAGUAGCUGUGGCAAGGUGUGCAAGUUUACACAGCAAGAAGGUGUAUAUGCUGAAACAAUGUUAAAUCAGGAAAUAAG
Ictalurus punctatus (channel catfish) is the source of this 622-nucleotide long non-coding RNA. Lineage: Eukaryota; Metazoa; Chordata; Actinopteri; Siluriformes; Ictaluridae. The record is from Ensembl.